Molecule: ribosomal RNA, 283 nt
Filed under: Escherichia coli
Lineage: Bacteria; Pseudomonadati; Pseudomonadota; Gammaproteobacteria; Enterobacterales; Enterobacteriaceae
Description: partial 23S ribosomal RNA
Rfam family: Bacterial large subunit ribosomal RNA
Source: RNAcentral
UCUUUUAUGGGGUGACUGCGUACCUUUUGUAUAAUGGGUCAGCGACUUAUAUUCUGUAGCAAGGUUAACCGAAUAGGGGAGCCGAAGGGAAACCGAGUCUUAACUGGGCGUUAAGUUGCAGGGUAUAGACCCGAAACCCGGUGAUCUAGCCAUGGGCAGGUUGAAGGUUGGGUAACACUAACUGGAGGACCGAACCGACUAAUGUUGAAAAAUUAGCGGAUGACUUGUGGCUGGGGGUGAAAGGCCAAUCAAACCGGGAGAUAGCUGGUUCUCCCCGAAAGCU